RNAcentral lists this long non-coding RNA (1418 nucleotides) under Marmota monax (woodchuck). Lineage: Eukaryota; Metazoa; Chordata; Mammalia; Rodentia; Sciuridae. The record is from RNAcentral.
GCCUCUCUGCCCUUCGCCAUCCUGACCCUGGUGAACACCCCAUAUAAGCGAGGUGUACCUACUACCCCUACUGCCCGGACACCAUCACCCAUGGGCUUAUGGCCGGGGCCACCAUCACAGCCACUGUCAUCCCGGUCUCAGCUGGGGAAGCCUACCUGGUGUACACUGAUCGCCUCUGUUCCCGUUCUGACUUCAACAACUAUGUGGCUGCCCUCUACAAGGUGCUGGGCACCUUCUUGUUUGGGGCGGCCGUGAGCCAGUCCUUGACAGACCUGGCCAAGUACAUGAUCGGUCGUCUGCGCCCCAACUUCUUGGCCGUCUGCGACCCAGACUGGAGCCGGGUCAACUGCUCGGUCUGUGUGCAGCUGGAGAGGGUGUGCAGGGAGCCCUGCCCACGUCACCGAGGCCAGGCUCUCUUCCUACUCUGGUCACUCCUCCUUCGGGACGUACUGUAUGCUGUUCUUGGCGGUCCGGUCCAGUAUGUCUCAGACUUCUUCAAAGCCCGACCCCUGCGGCCCUGCCUGGAGGAGGCGGUGGAGCGCAGCCCAGCCUGUCCCUGACGCUGACUGUCGGCGAGGCCUGGCACAACCACCGUGACUACCCCGUCUCCUCCUCCUGAGCCAGGACCUCCAGGCGACCAUCUGUGGGCCAGCUAUGCCUGGGCCCUGGUCAGCAGGAGGACCCAGACAGGCCCCAGGUUCCCAGCUAGUGCCAGAGGCAAGCAGUGCCCCUGGGGGCCAGGCGUCCUGUGGGCUGUCCUGGCUGCUCCUUGUGUGGGGUGGGGAAGGGCCUGGGAGCCAGGCACCCCGGGCUUCGUGGGGGUGUCCACGUGGGUUUCUAAUAAAGCAGGCAUUUGUUGAGGGCCUUGCUGCCAGGAUGGCUUCCUGCUUCUCUCUGGCCGGCACACAGAGUUAUCUCAUGACCAGAGGGCCUGAGCCGAGGGCGGGCAGGACCCCAGGGCACAGCCGGGAGGAGUCUGGCGGUGGAGACAGCAGGUUGAGUGCGUUGAGGGAAAGCACACCCCUGGUGCACGGCCAGAAAGACCAGCCAGACUCACUGCCCUUCCUGAGUGCUGCCCUUUCCCCUCCUCAACCCUGUGUAUGCCCCAAGGCCUCAGAGUCCCUCCACAGGUGAUGGGGGUCCUGCCUUCCGGACUGCCCUUCAGCAGCACCCUCCGCCCUGCACAGACUGGGCUCCAGGCCCUGCAGGAAGCACUGUCCAUGCCUUCCCUGUGCCCCUGUGGGACUCUGGCCUGAGCCCUGCCGUCCUGACCCUCUGUCGACAGCCGGUUCUGAAGCCAGAGGCUGGGCUGGUGCCUCUAAGCCAUUUCAGAACUUUCUGGGUUUGCCUUUUCAGUGGGAGACUGAUUCAUAGAUUUUGUUUUUUACCAAAAAAAAAAAAAAAAAGAAAAAGAAAGA